RNAcentral lists this long non-coding RNA (736 nucleotides) under Citrus sinensis (sweet orange). RNAcentral describes it as "long non-coding RNA (CSIN_LNC004887)". The record is from RNAcentral. Lineage: Eukaryota; Viridiplantae; Streptophyta; Magnoliopsida; Sapindales; Rutaceae.
CUAAAUUCAUUGGAUGGGUUGGCGGCUAAAAGUUUUUUGGUCCAGUAGCCCAGACGGGAUCAAGACCUAACCAAGCCAAUACGACGACAGGUAAAACCCGAACUGUGUGCACUAGUAAACCUGUCCCAAGUAUUGAAAAUGAAUAUCCGGAUAAGCCCGGGCAAGGAUUCAGGCACAGUACAAAAAACCCGGAACCCAAAUUCGUUCCCUUUUUUUUUAAUUAGUUAAAAAAAUAAUAUAAAAUUACAAACCCAAAAUCCAAAAUAAACUCUAAAUUCGUAAUACAUACCGAAACAAGCACCCUACUUCAGUGCAGACGCUGUUGCAGCUCUGACGCUCCAAGCCAGUAGCCACGACGGCACACCUCCACAAACCUCUCUCUGUGCGUCGGCAACAUCUCUUCUCAUUUCUUAGCUGCUGGCCUUGGCGUGCGACUUCUCUCUAUUCUCCAUCAUCAAUUCGUCACUGUCACAACUCACCUUCUUAGCCUACAGCCGCGUUCGUGCAGCCGACUCUGCUACCAUUACAGCCACAGUCUCUAUCAUCACCCUCUCAGCUGCCAUUGCUCCACCAUCACAACCACGAGGUAUUGACUUUUUUCCAGCUUUUCAAAAAAAAUGAUGAAAUUAUUAUUAUUAUUAUUCUUAGGUGUUAUGCUUUAUGUUUUUCUUGGAUGCUAUGCUUAGAUGAUUAUUUUUUAUAAUAAUAAACAUAUGUAAUAGGAGCUGAAUUAGGC